UACGAAGGGGGCUAGCGUUGCUCGGAAUUACUGGGCGUAAAGGGCGCGUAGGCGGAUAGUUUAGUCAGAGGUAAAAGCCCAGGGCUCAACCUUGGAACUGCCUUUGAUACUGGCUAUCUUGAGUUCGGGAGAGGUGAGUGGAAUGCCGAGUGUAGAGGUGAAAUUCGUAGAUAUUCGGAAGAACACCAGUGGCGAAGGCGGCUCACUGGUCCGGUACUGACGCUGAGGUGCGAAAGCGUGGGGAGCAAACAGG
RNAcentral lists this ribosomal RNA (253 nucleotides) under uncultured bacterium. RNAcentral describes it as "partial 16S ribosomal RNA". It matches the Rfam family "Bacterial small subunit ribosomal RNA", at positions 524 to 776 of the family's 1533-position model. The record is from RNAcentral.